Pseudophryne corroboree (corroboree frog) is the source of this 1387-nucleotide long non-coding RNA. RefSeq lists it as uncharacterized. The record is from RefSeq and is a predicted model, not a curated record. NCBI's taxonomy places the organism in Eukaryota, Metazoa, Chordata, Amphibia, Anura, Myobatrachidae. The transcript has 4 exons.
CGGCCGCAGGGCAUGCUGGGAGGGAUCCGAUCGGAUCCCUCACACAGCGCCGCGGAGAGAAGUCCAUAGGCUUCUAUGGACGUACGCUGGCGUACCCCGCCGCGGUGCUGUCCUGCCGGCCGGGGGUUAGUACAUUAGGAAAAUGCGGUAAACAGGGAGUUUACCGCAGUUUCCGCUUAGUACAUCCCGCCCUGAGUGACUUGCUGAAGCUCUGAGCAUGCUCACUGCAUUCAUAUGGCUUUUGGGCUGCACAGACAGCAGCCCCUAGAAGCACUGUAGGUCUGGCGAUUCAGCAUAGAAUAACUUCCAAUUGGAAGCAAUUACUGCAAAUCGCUCUUUGUACCAACAGUCCAAGGAGGGGGGGAGUUUCCAGCCCUGUGCAUGAUGAGCAGUAGCAGCAUCCAAUAGGAAGCAGCUACAUGCUAAACUCCUCACAGGAUUGGCCUGUCGCCUGCUCCCUGCUGCUUGUGUCUGCCUGCCCUACUGCUGCACUGAAAGGAGAGGACCCAGCGACAUCAUACUUUCCGGUGAGGAAGGAGGGGGUGCGACCACAACCGCUGGACCUCAGAUACCUGGAUCACUGGCCCCAAGAAGGGUGACCGGCAUAAAAGGCAGGCAAAUCACCCCUGAGGAAGUCCCAUACAGGUGGUAAAGAGACGAAACGCGUUGGCUCAUCUACCGCUACCUCUCCUAAUGAUACAUGACACCAGAGUUUCUUCCCUACUGGGAAUUUGGAUUUUAAGGUGACGUUCUGAACCAUCCCGUGGAUCUCUAAGCAGAACAUCCUGACAAGUAUCUUAUUGAAUGAGUUGGAUAUCCAGUAGAUUCCGGAAUUAUACCCACUCGCCAAACGUCACCCGAAAGAAAGGCCCAGUGACCACUUAUUAGUAGAAAUCUGGAUGUUUUUUUAUGUUAGAUAAAAAUAUCAGCAGAUAAAAUAAGUUGCACAUUUAAAAAGGUGUCAUAGUAUCGCCACUUUAGAAGAGAUGGAAGUGCUCCGUGUCACCACCCUUACGGGUGUGAGCUCAGGGACUUCGGUAAUGGCAGAUAGGCACGACACCCCCCAAGCCCUACGCGUUUCAUCCCUUACACGGGAGUUCUUAAGGGGUAAUGAUCACAAUCACAAUUGCAUGAUAAGAAGACAGCAAUAUCACACUGACUGAUUUAUCGGAUAGAAAUGCAACACUCUUUAGUUCAUCUGUAGCCAAAAUCACAGGUGUACACGAAGAAGACAGCAAUAUCACAUUGACUGAUUCACAGGAAAGCAAAGCCGCACUCUUUGGUUCAGCUGUAGCUUCCAAUAAACUCCACUCUACUUGUUCUGGUACACAGAUUGCUACUCUCCUGCUGCAAUUAUCUUUUAUAUUAUAGAUACAGUAUAUAGCAA